This is a long non-coding RNA of Saccostrea echinata, 204 nucleotides long. RefSeq lists it as uncharacterized. The record is from RefSeq and is a predicted model, not a curated record. NCBI's taxonomy places the organism in Eukaryota, Metazoa, Mollusca, Bivalvia, Ostreida, Ostreidae. The transcript has 3 exons.
UCUGCACUGAGUAGCGGAAAAACAGCCUGUAUUCAAGAUCGAUGUAAGGAGGGCUGGGUUCAGUUUCAAAGCAAAUGUUACCUUUUCUACAAUACAAGUGAUCGAACAUGGUCGGAGGCCGCAAGUGUCUGUCAAGGUUUUGACUCAAUUCUAGCCGAGCCAAGAACAGAAGCUGAAUCCAAAUUUUUGAUCAAUGAAGCCAAG